This is a non-coding RNA of Phasianus colchicus (ring-necked pheasant), 505 nucleotides long. Lineage: Eukaryota; Metazoa; Chordata; Aves; Galliformes; Phasianidae. The record is from the annotation of a RefSeq genome assembly.
GCUCCGUCUGCGCUGUCUGUCCUUCCUUCCCCACAGGGCUGAUGGCGGCCGUGACGUUGGACGAGUCUGGGGGUGGCCUCCAGGCACCCGGAGGAGGGAUCAGCCUCGUCUGCAAGGGCUCUGGAUUUGACUUCAGCAUUUUCCAGAUGGAGUGGGUGCGACAGGCACCCGGCAAGGGGCUGGAAUUCGUCGCCUGGAUUAGCGGUGCUGGUAGUACCACAAGAUACGGGGCGGCGGUGCAGGGCCGUGCCACCAUCUCCAGGGACAACGGGCAGAGCACAGUGAGGCUGCAGCUGAACAACCUCAGGGCUGAGGACACCGCCACCUACUGCUGCGCGAAAGCUGCUGGUGGUUGUAGUGCUGAUGGUGCUUAUGAAGCUGGUUACAUCGACUUGAAAGGGACACGUCUUCAUCUGAAUCUAGGAAGGUUCCAUCUGGGAUGCAGAGCUCUGCGCUGGAGGCACUGAAUUUUUGUCCCCAACAAGUCUGUCUCCGUAUCCAUCUC